RNAcentral lists this long non-coding RNA (1372 nucleotides) under Struthio camelus australis. RNAcentral's name for it is "lncRNA (ENSSCUG00000007568.1)". The record is from RNAcentral. Lineage: Eukaryota; Metazoa; Chordata; Aves; Struthioniformes; Struthionidae.
AUGAGGUGCUCCAGCUGGUCCCACCUUGGCCAUCUGGAUCCUUUCGGAGGGAUUAUGCUGGGCGACUGUGGAGCGCGGCGGGAUGAGCCGACUGUCGCUGCGGUUCAGCCCUCCCGGCCCCGAGGCAGCGCCGGGCGCCACUGCCACGUUUUCAGGAGGGAAUUUCUCCGAAACGGGAAUGAGAGAGACUCCGCUUUCACUCAAAUCCCCUUCGUUUUCCUGCGAAUCGCUGCUGAAGGAGUUGCCCUGCCGAGCUGCGCUGCUGAGAGCCUAGGCAGCGCUUUUCGCUUUUCUUUCUGGGCCAAUAUCCUUGUUUGCACGUCUUUGCUGCAAAACCCGGCGAUAAAAAUAGGCGAGCUGCGAGAACGCUGAGUUUUUUUGGUUUUAAAAUGGAGCAAAACGAGCGUGCGGUGGGCCGCUCUGUUUGCGGUGUGGUUUAGGCCGAGGGAGGCUGGUCUCUGAGUCCCUGAGCCUUCGUCUCCCUCCCGGCCGCCCAAAAACGGAGCCGGUAGUUCCCCUGGCCACAAAAGGCUGGGAAAAAAACAGGAAAAAGGAAAAAAACUACCCUGCUUCCGGCUGGGGAGAGAAACGAGAGGAUCAGCCCAGUCCGGGUGCUGUCCCAAUAGGGAAUGACCACCGGCAGGAAUAGCUCAAAGAUCCUGCCAAGCCCCCUUUUUCCUCAUAAUAGCAAUGAGUGAUGGAAGACGGGGUGUAAAACGGGGGUAAAAUGGGCGAUUUUCACACUAGUGGUGAUCGUGGCUCGUGCAAAACAGAUAUAAAAAAAUAUGGGGAUCUGCAAGGGAGAAAUGAGGCGGAAAAGGCAAAAAACAGCCUUGAUUUGCAUCACCCUGCGCCCAGACAGAUGGGAUUGAGGGACAGUGCUGCAGGCGAGAGGGGAAAAAAGAGCUCAUAGCAUCUUUUUGCUUUAAAAACUCCACGUUUUUAGCCAGCAAACCUCUCUUUGCAGGCCCCAAACCCCCUCUGACUUCAGCUCGGCUCUUCCCAUAGCGCCGUGUGCCGCCGCCUUUGAUCUCGGCCGCGUUCUUGAGCAGCUUUGCAGCCUGUUUUGGGUAAGAUACAAAGGGAAUUAGGGCUCGGUGGGGGAGGGAACCUCACAGCUCUCCCUCCUCUGCCCCAGCAAGGCAGGUCGGACUCCGGUUUGGCUCUCCCGAAAUGAACCUUGACGCGGCACACAGUGAAACGAGGGCGCCCCAGCCACAUCCUGCAGGCGCCAGCUGUAAAACCAGGGUAUUUUUGGCAUGGCCCCGAUACAAACUUUUUGGGAGAAAAGAGAAAAGAAAACAAAACUCCCUCAUCCCUGCCGAAAGCAACCGGGUGCCUUAAAUUCCUGCGGCGAGGUGCUUGGCCCCGC